Ribosomal RNA from Toxoplasma gondii ME49, 1023 nucleotides. Lineage: Eukaryota; Apicomplexa; Conoidasida; Eucoccidiorida; Sarcocystidae. The record is from RefSeq and is a predicted model, not a curated record.
CCCACGUCUUCCUACUCAUUGCUACAAAAGGUCGAGUGAUAAUUAGUAGCAAUGGCCUGGUAUCGGUAGCCCGCUUCAGCGCCAUCCAUUUUCAGGGCUGGUUCAUACGGCAGGUGAGUUGUUACACACUCCUUAGCGGAUUUCGACUUCCAUGACCACCGCCCUGCUGUCAAAAUGAACCAACACCUUUUAUGGUAUCUGAUGAGCGAGCAUUUUGGCACCUUAACCAAGCGUUAGGAGCAUCCCUCAUCGCCAGUUCUGCUUACCAAAAAUGGCCCACUUGGAGUUCAUAUUAAUCCCAGCAGUUCAAUGAAGUAACCACUGGAUCUUACCCAUUUAAAGUUUGAGAAUAGGUCGAGGGCGACGCGCCCCCGAUGCCUCUAAUCAUUCGCUUUACCUGAUAAAACUAACAAAACUCCAGCUAUCCUGAGAGAAGCUUCGGAAGAAACCAGCUACUAGAUGGUUCGAUUAGUCUUUCGCCCCUAUACCCAAGUUUGACGAACGAUUUGCACGUCAGUAUCGCUACGAACCUCCAUCAGGGUUUCCCCUGACUUCAUUCUACUCAGGCAUAGUUCACCAUCUUUCGGGUCCUAACAGAUAUGCUCCAACUCAAACCUCUCUCAGAGAUCGUGGUCGGUCGUAGGUGCGAAGAAUGGCAAAGCCAAAAUCUCCCUACUCUCACUUUCAUUGCGCAUACAGGAGUAAAACCCGCAUACUCGCACAUAUGUUAGACUCCUUGGUCCGUGUUUCAAGACGGGUCGGUUGGAACCGAUUAAGCCAGCAUCACAGAAACCGAGUACUCGAAAGUGGAGCUCGGAAACAGGAACACUCCUCAGCCACAAGGAAAAGGAAAGAACAAAGAUAUAACGGUCCACAAGGAACCUACCUUCUUUGAACGAAAUCAAUUCCGAGUAGCUGAUGCUGACCUCUCCAAAAAGAUGAACCGGAAAUACAUCAAGAAACCAAAGCCUAAACCUGGUGAGAGAGAGAAGGCAAAGGGAUAGAUGGCAAACCGGCGGCACU